This is a long non-coding RNA of Biomphalaria glabrata, 3910 nucleotides long. RefSeq lists it as uncharacterized. The transcript has 5 exons. The record is from RefSeq and is a predicted model, not a curated record. NCBI's taxonomy places the organism in Eukaryota, Metazoa, Mollusca, Gastropoda, Planorbidae.
ACUGGGCGUUAGGGUUAGGAAAAAAAUCGACCCCCCCCCCCACUCCAAAGUUCUGGAUCCGCUAGUGUCCCAAAGACAGGCUCAUAAGACGAACAAAAAACUGAAAAAAAAUCCCCGGCGGACAACGGCUUUGUCUGCAUUAGGUGUGGCAAAAUAUACAGUUUGCUAUUUGAAGUCGGGUUUAGUGUUAUCAUUUCUACCUUAGCUCAGCUUUCGUUUCUUCAUCUACGAUAUCACUUACUCUGCUGAACGUCUACAUGAGCUCCAGAUGAAAGAAAUCUGAAAGGAGUUAAAGAGGCGGGACAUCGUAGCGUCAGGAAACAAAGAAGCCCUCGUUAGCCGUCUGAGAGAUGCUUUGAAAGAAGACAAGUUUGACCCGGACACUUACGAGUUUGAAAUGAAGGCUGACCUCGCAGAAUGUUGAGUGAAAUAAAAGAGGAACUUCUAGGGUCAAUGCGAACAAUGGCGACUGGUCUGAAAACAGAUCUGGAGGAAUUCAGAAGUAAGUUAAGGGAGGAAAUCGCCGCUGUGAAGUCACAGCUUACAGCAGAGAUGGAGCUAAAGAUUAAAGCCCUUAACGACGAGGUCCAGGCAGUCAAGGUCGAGCUGGGCAAGGUUCAACGUAUUCAAACAAAUUCAGGAUUGAGCGAAGCAAUUUUGGAAAGUCAAGCCACCUAUUUUUGAUAGUACAGUCUCGUGGACAGUCUAUAAAAGACUAUUUGAGGCGGCUGCUAAAGUGAACAACUGGAGUACGAACGAGGAAAAAGCAACUGGAUUAAUGUUAGCAUUACGGGGAAAGGUCUCUGAAUAGCUACAGAUAGUUAACGAACAGCAAGUGCAUUAUGCCUAAUGGGCAUUGAUGAAUCACUAGUUUUAGUUUCUUCUUUAGUCCGGUCAAACUCUGAAGAGACUAAACAAGCCGAUUCUAGAAAAGCAUGGUUUGCCACAGCUGGUGAAUGUGGAUAUCUUAAUGGGGCAGAUUUCUUUCUCAUUCUGUCGCUGUGACCGAUUCAUUCAUUUCGCUCUCGGUGCACGCACAGUCUGUCUCCGUGUUUGUCCGAUCUUUCCUAUCACAUAUUAUUUUGUAAGCCUGUAGUCCUCAGAUGUUGCUUGCAGUCAUCUAUGUAGGAUAGUAUUGGGAAUCUCUUGGGUCUGACUCCCUCAUCAAGCUCAGCAGUGAGGAUGGCCUAAUGAAUUCUUCCGUCUGGCUAGCGGGUAACAUGUUCGAGCAUACUUAGCAUUCUCUUUAUCAAAAGAGCUUUCAUGCUGUAUGUAUUGCCAGUUUUAAAACUUUCUUAUUAAAAACAAUGUGAGCUAUAUGCAACGCAAGUGAAAACUGUUUAAUUUAUGCUCUUAGUGUAUGUAUGUAGACUAGCUCUCGCUCGAGUUAGAACAAUGGAAUAGCGCUUUGGGGAGGAACACAUGAAGCAGGUUUAUAGAGUGCAAUUGAAGACUCGGCAUCAAAAAACAAGGGAUACACAACAGGAUUGGUGGCAGAUAUCGAACGACUGGCACGCCUGGCUUAUCCGACCUUGACCCAGGAGAUUUUAGACGUUCUCAUAACAGACGCGUUUAUUGAUUGUGUUCGUGACCCCGAAUUGAAGUAGGCUAUUAGAUUAAGUGGAAAAAUAGAGGCUAGCGAUGCUUCGAUAUAUGCAUUAUCUUUUGAGGCAGCUAAAGACACAUAAAAAGCGACCCAUUUCAGUCGGAGGCUUCAUGUUCAGGAGGAGGACCUCACGCAUAUCAUCAGACAAGCAGUGGAAACUAUAGAUGACCGACGGUCUCAGCAAAUGCCCAGACCAAAUAGACCGGUUGUUCACUGCUGGAAUUGCAAUCUUCUGGACACAUUCAGAGAAAUUGUACUCGGGGAUAUGCAGGCUGACAAAGAGAGAAAGAUGGAUUGGGUAGUCAUCAGGCCAACAUUCAAUCUCAGAACCAGGAAAACUAGAUUCUGCCGGUCUCGUGGGGCGGAGACAGGCAGCGAGAUUCACAUGAAGCCCCAGGCUUAUCAUCCCAGUUGCCGUGCUAGGGAAAAAUAGAAGCCUGAGAGUACAAGGGAAAAUAGGAGUUCGAUUUUGCAGAUUUCUAUUAGAUAUUGGCGCAUCGAGAUCGAUAAUUUAUCCUAGUCUUAUUGAGAAUAACGUAAUACAUGAAGUCAGUGGCUAUUCUAUAAAAACAUCUAGUGGAGAACUUUUGCCAGUUUUAGGACAGAUCACUGUAAAGAUUGAGAUAGCAAAUCAACAUUUUAGUCAUGAAUUCUUGGUCGCCAAUAUCAUGGAUGAGUGUAUUCUGGGACUAGACUUCAUGCAGUUAUUUGGACUCUCCUUGAACAUUGGGGGUGGCACAAUGCAAUAUGGAAAUCUUGAAAUUCCGUUGCUGGGGAACGACAUGGAAGAAGAACAGAUAAAGAGGGUCUUGAUAACAAAAGGUACCAGCAUACCCGCACAGUGUGAAGCCAUUAUAUGUAACACAAUAGACGGUAAUGAUCCUGUGCCUAUAGCAAGCCUUAUAGAGCAGUCAAAGGAAACGCGCAGUAGACUACCUGUGGGGAGAAUACUGGUUGUUAAUAGAAACGACCGAUGGGUACCUGUUCGGGUUAGGAAUUUUGACACUUAAACUUGCAACCUUCAGAAGAAGAAUGUUAUCGCCAUUUGUUGUCCAUUGGAAAUUAUUGCAUCGUGUGAUGCGGUGGUCCCUGUAGCUAGUGCCUCGUAAUGUGAUUCUCGAGUUGAUCGGAUACUUGGAGAUGAGGGUGAGGAUCUGUCGGAGAGAGAGUGCGGUGGGGUUAGGCAAAUGUUGCUAGAGUUUGGGGACGUCGUGCCAGACAGUGAAAAUGGGCUCGGCGAGACUGAUUUGGUGUUCCAGGACAAGGUUGUGCACCUGGAUCGGUUGCACCAGUAUUGUGAGGAGACCAGAGUCUGUUCGGGACGAACAGAACUAGGGAGGGGCAGUGUUGUAACCCUGUUUCUCCCUGACUAACCAUUUUUCCAAAUGCGAAGUAGGAUGAUUUUUUUUAUGUUGUUAAGAAACUUUAGUGAUGCUUUUGUUUUUCUCUACUGAGGAUAGAGGAUUGUUUUCUUUAAUUUGUGUAAGUGAAUCCGGAUAUGUAAAAUUGAUUUGGAGAUUGUGACAUUAUUUAUUUUUAUCGGUGAUAGUGAUUGAUCAUGAUUGGAUUGUGCAAUCAGAGAGAUACCAGUGAUCUGAGAAUCGCAUCUGAAGAAAUGUCGAAAAACAUCUGAGAUGAAGUGCAACUAAAGUUUUCAAGAUUAAAUCAUGUUAGGGUCAUCGACAAUGAACGAGGCCAAAUGAUCAGCUUGAUGUUGCGAGCUUGAAAAGUAGGAGAGAUAACGUACAAGUGUGUUCACCAGACAAGACGGACGGACAGACGGGAGGCGGUAUCGUCAAGGAUUCCUUCCUGGAACUGCUCCUGAAAGAGGAACAGACAAAAUGAUUGUGACAAUGACGUAGAACGUUUCCUGACUACAUUAUAGAUGAAAAGCAAUGGCGUGUGCAGUAGCUCAUCAGACUCUCCUUUGAGGUUGAGACUUUGCGCAGCUGCACUAUUUGGACUGUCGUUAAUUCAGCCCUAACUCUAAACUCUUGUCAGUUUAGAAAAAAAUGUUUAAUUUCAAGACAUCAAAUAUAUUCGUACACAACAAAGUUUAUAUAAUAAUUAACAUUGGAAUGUAUAAAGCUUCUGUAAAGUAACAUGCAGAGGCAGUAUGGUAAUAUUUUAUCAUAAUAAUAUUAUGGGUAUUAUCAAUGAACACUUUGUCUAUGCUGCCGAAGAACAUAAAAUCAUCAACAGUCUUGCUAGUCUUAAUUCGAGCUUUGAGUGCAUAGUAUUUUUCAACUUUCACAAUUGUCCAGUCAAUUCCUAGUGGUCAGGUACUCACCUCACUCCAGCCAU